GCGAGGGCGUAUGGUGGAUGCCUUGGCAGACAGUACCGAUGAAGGACGUUUGAGGAUGCGAUAAUCCUAGGGGAGCCUCCAACAUGGCUUUGAUCCUAGGGUCUCCGAAUGGGGGAACCCGCCGGCCGUCAUGGGCCGGCACCGCCUAUGGGCGGGGGGUACGCAGGGAAGUGAAACAUCUCAGUACCUGCAGGAAGGGAUACUCCGUGAGUAGUGGCGAGCGAAAGCGGAUCAGACCAAACCGGUUGCGCGUGAUACCCGUCGGGGGUUGCGUUGCCGGUGUUGUGGGAUCACGUGUCCCGGUUCCGACGGGCCGGGCGGGAGUCAUAAAACGGCUUGCCAGGGGAACAGGCUUGAAGGCCUGGCCGUAGAGGGUGCCAGCCCCGUACCUGGACGUGAGCCGUCUUCCGAUCGUGUUGUCCCAAGUAGCGCGGGCCUCGUGGAAUCCCGCGUGAAUCAGCCCAGACCGUUGGGUAAGUCUAAGCAUACCUGUCUGACCGAUAGCGUACCAGUACCGUGAGGGAAAGGUGAAAAGCACCCCGGGAGGGGAGUGAAACAGUUCCUGAAACCGUGCGCCCACAAACCGUCGGAGCCUCCCUGGUGGGGUGACGGCGUGCCUAUCGAAAAAUGAGUCUGCGAGUCAGUGGCGGGUGGCGAGCAUAAGCCGUGUGGCGUAUGCGUAGCGAAAGCGAGUCCGAAUAGGGCGUUUUUUAGUCGCUUGUCCUGGACCCGAAGCGGGAUGAUCUAGCCCUGGGCAGGUUGAAGCGCGGGUAAGACCGCGUGGAGGACCGAACCCACCUGGGUUGAAAACCGGGGGGAUGACCUGGGGCUAGGGGUGAAAGGCCAAUCAAAUUCCGUGAUAGCUGGUUCUCUCCGAAAUGCAUUUAGGUGCAGCGUCGGUCGAUUGCGUCGCGGGGGUAGAGCUACCGGAUGCUUGCGGGCCCUUGUUGGGUACCAACAGCAGCCGAACUCCGAAUACCGUUGACGUGUAUUCCGGCAGUGAGUCGGCGGGGGAUAAGCUCCGUCGUCGAGAGGGAGACAGCCCAGACCGUCGUCUAAGGUCCCGAAGCGUGUGCUAAGUGGGAAAGGAUGUGGAGUCGCAUAGACAGCCAGGAGGUUGGCUCAGAAGCAGCCAUCCUUGAAAGAGUGCGUAACAGCUCACUGGUCUAGUGGUUCCGCGCCGACAAUGUAGCGGGGCUCAAGCACACCACCGAAGACGCGGCAGCAAUCUUCAUGGUUGCUGGGUAGGAGAGCGUCCUGCGAGGGGCGAAGCGGCCGGGUAACCGUGCCGUGGACUUCGUGGGAGUGAGAAUGCAGACAUGAGUAGCGAGAGACGGGUGAGGAUCCCGUCCGCUGGAUGACCAAGGGUUCCGGGGCCACGUUCGUCGUCCCCGGGUGAGUCGGGUCCUAAGGCGAGGCCGACAGGCGUAGUCGAAUGGAUGAACGGGUGGAUAUUCCCGUACCGACCAUGGACCGGCAAAACCGAGACGGUGAGUACUAACCUCCGCCUCGUGGUGGUUCCUUCCUUCGGGUUGGUGUCGCCGCGUGGUGUUGGGACUGUAGCCGCAGUAGGUCAGCGCAGGGGUGACACGGAAUGGGAGCCGGCCGCGGAGGUGGUUUUCCGUGGUCAAGCACGCAGCCAGUCAUGUAGGCAAAUCCGCAUGGCGUGCAUGGCGAGGUGUGAUGAUGGGAGCCUUUUGGGCUCGAUAUCCGGUUGUCCAGGCCGUCGAGAAAAGCCUCGGCGUGAGGGCCAUGGCCGCCCGUACCCCAAACCGACACUGGUGGUCAGGUAGAGAAUACCAAGGCGAUCGAGCGAAUCCUGGUCAAGGAACUCGGCAAAUCACUCCCGUGCCUUCGGUAUAAGGGAGACCCACUGGGGUGAAGGACCUUGCGUCCGGAGCUUUGGUGGGUGGCACAGACCAGGGGGUAGCGACUGUUUACCAAAAACACAGGUGCAUGCGA
Molecule: ribosomal RNA, 1962 nt
Filed under: human gut metagenome
Description: bacterial LSU rRNA
Rfam family: Bacterial large subunit ribosomal RNA
Source: RNAcentral